This 478-nucleotide ribosomal RNA is filed under the name uncultured bacterium. Its description in RNAcentral is "partial 16S ribosomal RNA". It matches the Rfam family "Bacterial small subunit ribosomal RNA", at positions 28 to 507 of the family's 1533-position model. The record is from RNAcentral.
GACGAACGCUGGCGGCGUGCUUAACACAUGCAAGUCGAGCGGGCUGCCUGGUUUUCGGAUCGGGUGGUGAGUGGCGAACGGGUGAGUAACACGUGAGUAACCUGCCCCUCUCUUUGGGAUAACGUCGGGAAAUCGGCGCUAAUACCGGGUAUUCUGGCUUCCUCGCAUGGGGUUGUUGGGAAAGGUUUUUUCUGGUGGGGGAUGGGCUCGCGGCCUAUCAGCUUGUUGGUGGGGUGAUGGCCUACCAAGGCGGUGACGGGUAGCCGGCCUGAGAGGGUGUCCGGCCACACUGGGACUGAGACACGGCCCAGACUCCUACGGGAGGCAGCAGUGGGGAAUAUUGCACAAUGGGCGGAAGCCUGAUGCAGCGACGCCGCGUGGGGGAUGACGGCCUUCGGGUUGUAAACCUCUUUCAGUGCAGAACAAGGCUCUUUGUGGGUUGAGGGUAUGCGCAGAAGAAGCGCCGGCUAACUACGUG